GUUCCGAUCCUGGCUCAGAUUGAACGCUGGCGGGAUGUACACAUGCAGUCGAACAGCGGCACAGGACUUCGGUCUGGUGGCGAGUGGCGAACGGGUGAGUAAUGUAUCGGAACGUGCCUAGUAGCGGGGGAUAACUACGCGAAAGCGUAGCUCAUCUACACCAUACGCCCUUCGGGGAAAGCGGGGGACCUUCGGGCCUCGCACUAUUAGAGCAGCCGAUAUCUGGAUUAGCUAGUUGGUGGGGGUAACGGCUCACCAAGGCGGCGAUCGCCCAGCUGGUUUGAGAGGACGACCAGCCACACUGGGACUGGGCGGCCGAACUCACGGGGAGGCAUGAUGGGGAAUUUUUGGACGUGGGGAAACCCUGAUCCAUGCAUCCGCAUGUGCGAUGAAGGCCUUCAGGUUGUAAACCUUUUUGGCGGAAAGAAACGGCUGAAGGACCAACACAUGCAGCGAAGGCAAUGCAGAAUGAGCACCGGCUAACUACGUGCCAGCAGCCGCGGUAAUACGUAGGGUGCAAGCGUUAAUCGGAAUUACUGGGCGUAAAGCGUGCGCAGGCGGUUCCGGAAAGAAGAUGUGAAAUCCCAGGCUUAACUUUGGAACUGCAUUUUUUUAACUACCGAGCUAGAGUGUCAGAGGAGUGGAAUUCCAUGAUAAUAGCAGUGAAAUGCGUAGAUAUGCGGAGAGAACACACCCGAUGGCGAAGCAGCCUCCUGGGAUAACACUGACAUCGCUGCACCAAAAAGCGUGAGGCAACAGGAUUAGAUACCUGGUAGUCCACUUUCAUUGAUCUCCACUUCAGCUGUUGGGGCCUUCGGGCCUUGUUAGCGCAGCUAACGCGUGAAGUUGACCGCCUGGGAGAUACGGUCGCAAGGUCAAAACUCAAAGGAAUUGACGGGGACCCGCACAAGCGGUGGAUGAUGUGGAUUAAUUCGAUGCAACGCGAAAAACCUUACCUACAUGAGCAUGUCUGAAUCCCGAAGAGAUUUGGGGAGUGCUCGCAAGAGAACCGAACACAGGUGCUGCAUGGCUGUCUGAUAAAGCUCGUGUCGUGAGAUGUUGGGUUAAGUCCGCAACGAAGCGCAACCCUUGUCAUUAGUUGCUGAAAGGGCACUCCUAAUGAGACUGCAGUAUUGAUAAACCGGGGAGGAAGGUGGGGAUGACGUCAAGUCCUCAUGGCCCAUAUGGGUAGGGCUUCACACGUCAUGCAAUGGUCGGGACAGAGGGUCGCCAGCCCGCGAAGGCCAAUCCCAGAAACCCGAUCGUAGUCCGGAUCGCAGUCUGCAACUCGACUGCGUGAAGUCGGAAUCGCUAGUAAUCGCGGAUCGGCAUGUCGCGGUGAUAGUUUUCACGGGUCUUGUACACCGCCCGUCACACCAUGGGAGUGGGUUUUACCAGUGAUUAGCCUAACCGUAAAGGAGGGCGAUUCUACAGUAGGAUUCAUGACUGGGGUGAAGUCGCUAACAAGGUAG
This 1472-nucleotide ribosomal RNA is filed under the name uncultured Bordetella sp. Its description in RNAcentral is "partial 16S-23S ribosomal RNA intergenic spacer". It matches the Rfam family "Bacterial small subunit ribosomal RNA". Lineage: Bacteria; Pseudomonadati; Pseudomonadota; Betaproteobacteria; Burkholderiales; Alcaligenaceae. The record is from RNAcentral.